AGUGAACGCUGGCGGUAGGCCUAACACAUGCGAGUCGAACGGCAGCACAGUAAGAGCUUGCUCUUACGGGUGGCGAGUGGCGGACGGGAGCGGAAUACAUCGGAAUCUACUUUUUCGUGGGGGAUAACGUAGGGAAACUUACGCUACUACCGCAUACGACCUACGGGUGAAAUCCGGGGAUCUUCGGACCUUGCGCGAUUGAAUGAGCCGAUGUCGGAUUAGCUAGUUGGCGGGGUAAAGGCCCACCAAGGCGACGAUCCGUAGCUGGUCUGAGAGGAUGAUCAGCCACACUGGAACUGAGACACGGUCCAGACUCCUACGGGAGGCAGCAGUGGGGAAUAUUGGACAAUGGGCGCAAGCCUGAUCCAGCCAUGCCGCGUGGGUGAAGAAGGCCUUCGGGUUGUAAAGCCCUUUUGUAGGGAAAGAAAAGCAGCAGGUUAAUACCCCGCUGUUCUGACGGUACCCAAAGAAUAAGCACCGGCUAACUUCGUG
RNAcentral lists this ribosomal RNA (492 nucleotides) under uncultured bacterium. Its description in RNAcentral is "partial 16S ribosomal RNA". It matches the Rfam family "Bacterial small subunit ribosomal RNA", at positions 29 to 507 of the family's 1533-position model. The record is from RNAcentral.